GUGCUCGCUUCGGCAGCACAUAUACUAAAAUUGGAACUAUACAGAGAAGAUUAGCAUGGCCCCUGUGCAAGGAUGACACACAAAUUCAUGAAAAAAAAAUAAAAUAA
This 107-nucleotide small nuclear RNA is filed under the name Prolemur simus (greater bamboo lemur). The record is from RNAcentral. Lineage: Eukaryota; Metazoa; Chordata; Mammalia; Primates; Lemuridae.